UCAAGGUCGUCGGAUUUAGAGGUCCUUUCGCAAGGGGGAGGAUCAGUCUUGAAUAAAAAAGAAGAGCUAUCGUCGUGGACAGAUAGACCACUUACCAGAAGAAAAAAGAAAGGAAUUCCUCGCUCUACUAGUAAAGUAGAAAUGAAAGCAAAUGGUCCUAGGGACCUUAAAAGAAAGCAAAUUAGAAAGCAUUCGAAUUGACAACAUGUGAGUAUAAACUCACUCCCCUUUUGUGGACUCACACUAAACCUCCCGUUUUGGACUCGCGCG
RNAcentral lists this unclassified non-coding RNA (270 nucleotides) under Hevea brasiliensis (rubber tree). Lineage: Eukaryota; Viridiplantae; Streptophyta; Magnoliopsida; Malpighiales; Euphorbiaceae. The record is from RNAcentral.